GGGGCUGUAGCUCAGUGGCAGAGCACUUGCCUAGCAUGCGUGAGGCAAUGGGUUAGAUCCUCAGCACCA
RNAcentral lists this transfer RNA (69 nucleotides) under Ictidomys tridecemlineatus (thirteen-lined ground squirrel). Its description in RNAcentral is "Spermophilus tridecemlineatus (thirteen-lined ground squirrel) tRNA". It matches the Rfam family "tRNA". Rfam says of the family: Transfer RNA (tRNA) molecules are approximately 80 nucleotides in length. The record is from Rfam by way of RNAcentral. Lineage: Eukaryota; Metazoa; Chordata; Mammalia; Rodentia; Sciuridae.